GACGAACGCUGGCGGCGUGCUUAACACAUGCAAGUCGAACGGAGAGGCCCUGCUUUUGUGGGGUGCUCGAGUGGCGAACGGGUGAGUAACACGUGAGUAACCUGCCCUUGACUUUGGGAUAACUUCAGGAAACUGGGGCUAAUACCGGAUAGGAGCUCCUGCUGCAUGGUGGGGGUUGGAAAGUUUCGGCGGUUGGGGAUGGACUCGCGGCUUAUCAGCUUGUUGGUGGGGUAGUGGCUUACCAAGGCUUUGACGGGUAACCGGCCUGAGAGGGUGACCGGCCACAUUGGGACUGAGAUACGGCCCAGACUCCUACGGGAGGCAGCAGUGGGGAAUAUUGCACAAUGGGCGGAAGCCUGAUGCAGCAACGCCGCGUGCGGGAUGACGGCCUUCGGGUUGUAAACCGCUUUCGCCUGUGACGAAGCGUGAGUGACGGUAAUGGGUAAAGAAGCACCGGCUAACUACGUG
RNAcentral lists this ribosomal RNA (468 nucleotides) under uncultured bacterium. Its description in RNAcentral is "partial 16S ribosomal RNA". It matches the Rfam family "Bacterial small subunit ribosomal RNA", at positions 28 to 507 of the family's 1533-position model. The record is from RNAcentral.